Molecule: long non-coding RNA, 718 nt
Filed under: Capsella rubella
Lineage: Eukaryota; Viridiplantae; Streptophyta; Magnoliopsida; Brassicales; Brassicaceae
Description: long non-coding RNA (CRUB_LNC001090)
Source: RNAcentral
UCUUUGAUGAAAUGACUCCACGUUUUCAUAUUGUAAAGUUGGACAGCAACUCAACGUUUUGCAUAUGCGUAAUUGUGGAAACGGUAUGGAAUACAUUUUAAACGGUAUGGAGUAUAAAACGACUUAUGUAUGGGUGUGACCAGUGGCGGAUCUACCUUAUAGGUAGGUUGGGCACGUGCCCUACACUGAUUUUUAUUUUGUAUUGAAUAACUCUACACAAUAGUUUCAUAUUAGUUCAUUUGGUAAUGUUUACAUGUAGGUAAUAUGAGAGGUGGGGUGUUCUAUACCUUCAUGUAGACUAUUUUUACUUUUUAACUUUCGUAUUUUUAUCAUAUGGUAUACUAAUGUAGUAUUAAUUUUUAGGUAUAUUUAAUAUGUGCCAUAGGUUAAUAAAUCUCCUGGAUCCGCCACUGGGUGUGACUUGUGAGCCGUAUGAUUCGAGUCGAAAUUCACGAAUAAUACCUCUUUUUUUUCAAUUCCCUUUAAACUUUUUUUUUUAAUAGCUUUUCAAUAUGAGAUAUUAAUUUGAUCAUGUGGUGAGUGUGGUCCUUAACGAGUGAGAUUGGGAGUUUCAUAACCAACUAUUACGAGAUGGGCGAUUGGAAGUUUUAUAGUUUACAUAUAUCAUAUAUUGGAUAUGAAUGCUUUAUAUUUGAAAAUAAAUAUGUAAAACUAUAAAUAACACAUGCAAAAAUAAAUAAGACUAAUCCCAUGUCAC